UAUAAAGGCGAAGCUGUUGAAAGGCAGUGGCGCAAAGCGAAGAGCCUAAGGUGCUUACGCACUAUGGUAGUCUGGCUGC
This 79-nucleotide non-coding RNA is filed under the name uncultured Ruminococcus sp. RNAcentral describes it as "Cyclic di-GMP-I riboswitch". It matches the Rfam family "c-di-GMP-I riboswitch aptamer", at positions 6 to 83 of the family's 87-position model. Rfam says of the family: GEMM was predicted in a large-scale screen for bacterial structured RNA regulatory elements. Lineage: Bacteria; Bacillati; Bacillota; Clostridia; Eubacteriales; Oscillospiraceae. The record is from RNAcentral.